Molecule: ribosomal RNA, 438 nt
Filed under: uncultured bacterium
Lineage: Bacteria
Description: bacterial LSU rRNA
Rfam family: Bacterial large subunit ribosomal RNA
Source: RNAcentral
AGAGCAAUGCUAAAUAGUAAUAUGAUGUAUAUUGCCUGACACCUGCUCGGUGCCCUGUAAGUAAAAGUUGAGGACUUAAUCGUCCCAAGAUAUAAGCUCAGGUUAACAGCGGCUGUAACCUUGACGGUCCUUAAGGGUAGCGAAAUCCCCUCGGUAGUUAAUUGCUGCCAUGCAUGAAUGGUGUAACGACUGCUUGGCUGUCUCAGGUUUUAUUUUAGUGAAAAUGUAGUAUCCGUGAAGAUACGGAUUACCUGUAGCGGGACGUUAAGACCCUAUGCAGCUUUACUAUAAUCUUGUAUUGUUCGGAGAUAUUUAAGUAUGCAGGAUAGUUAACAGCUUAUGAUAUUUUGACGCUAGUCAAUUGUGGAGGCUUCCUUGAGAGUAGUAAUUCUUAAGAGCUCACAUUUGACUAGCGUCAAAAUAUCAUAAGCUGUUAAC